GACGAACGCUGGCGGCGUGCUUAACACAUGCAAGUCGAACGCUGAAGCCCUUUUGGGGGUGGAUGAGUGGCGAACGGGUGAGUAACACGUGGGUAAUCUGCCCUGCACUCUGGGAUAAGCCUUGGAAACGGGGUCUAAUACCGGAUAGGACACAUCGCCGCAUGGUGUGUGUGUGGAAAGUUCCGGCGGUGCAGGUUGAGCCCGCGGCCUAUCAGCUUGUUGGUGGGGUGAUGGCCUACCAAGGCGACGACGGGUAGCCGGCCUGAGAGGGUGACCGGCCACACUGGGACUGAGACACGGCCCAGACUCCUACGGGAGGCAGCAGUGGGGAAUCUUGCGCAAUGGGCGAAAGCCUGACGCAGCAACGCCGCGUGGGGGAUGACGGCCUUCGGGUUGUAAACCUCUUUCGACCGGGACGAAGGGUGACUGACGGUACCGGUAGAAGAAGCACCGGCUAACUACGUGCCAGCCGCCGCAGUAA
This 481-nucleotide ribosomal RNA is filed under the name uncultured bacterium. RNAcentral describes it as "partial 16S ribosomal RNA". It matches the Rfam family "Bacterial small subunit ribosomal RNA", at positions 28 to 523 of the family's 1533-position model. The record is from RNAcentral.